GAUGAAGAACGUAGCGAAAUGCGAUACUUGGUGUGAAUUGCAGAAUCCCGUGAACCAUCGAGUCUUUGAACGCAAGUUGCGCCCGAAGCCACUAGGCCGAGGGCACGCCUGCCUGGGCGUCACACGCCGUUGCCCCCCCAUCUACUCCUUCGGGAUUGCGGGGGGGCGGAUGAUGGCCUCCCGUGCGCCUAGCCGCGCGGUUGGCAUAAAUACCAAGUCCUCGGCGACGCACGCCACGACAAUCGGUGGUUGCGAAACCUCGGUUGCCCGUCGUGUGCGUUCGUCGCGCAUCGAGNNCUCGAAAAAAUGCUCGGCUCCGGCUGGGCUUUCAACGCGACCCCAGGUCAGGCGGGGUUACCCGCUGAAUUUAAGCAUAUCAAUAAGCGGAGGA
Molecule: unclassified non-coding RNA, 391 nt
Filed under: soil metagenome
Description: partial contains 5.8S ribosomal RNA, internal transcribed spacer 2, and large subunit ribosomal RNA
Rfam family: 5.8S ribosomal RNA (bases 1-122)
Source: RNAcentral